Molecule: ribosomal RNA, 230 nt
Filed under: uncultured bacterium
Lineage: Bacteria
Description: partial 16S ribosomal RNA
Rfam family: Bacterial small subunit ribosomal RNA
Source: RNAcentral
AAAGCGUGCGCAGGCGGUUAUGCAAGACAGAUGUGAAAUCCCCGGGCUCAACCUGGGAACUGCAUUUGUGACUGCAUAGCUAGAGUACGGUAGAGGGGGAUGGAAUUCCGCGUGUAGCAGUGAAAUGCGUAGAUAUGCGGAGGAACACCGAUGGCGAAGGCAAUCCCCUGGACCUGUACUGACGCUCAUGCACGAAAGCGUGGGGAGCAAACAGGAUUAGAUACCCGAGU